GCAGUGGCGGUUCAGUGGUAGAGUUCUUGCUUUCCACGCAGGAGACCUGGGCUCCAUUCCCAGCCCAUGCA
RNAcentral lists this transfer RNA (71 nucleotides) under Loxodonta africana (African savanna elephant). It matches the Rfam family "tRNA". From Rfam's summary of the family: Transfer RNA (tRNA) molecules are approximately 80 nucleotides in length. Their secondary structure includes four short double-helical elements and three loops (D, anti-codon, and T loops). Lineage: Eukaryota; Metazoa; Chordata; Mammalia; Proboscidea; Elephantidae. The record is from Rfam by way of RNAcentral.